RNAcentral lists this ribosomal RNA (369 nucleotides) under Chryseobacterium polytrichastri. Its description in RNAcentral is "bacterial SSU rRNA". It matches the Rfam family "Bacterial small subunit ribosomal RNA", at positions 1 to 370 of the family's 1533-position model. The record is from RNAcentral. Lineage: Bacteria; Pseudomonadati; Bacteroidota; Flavobacteriia; Flavobacteriales; Weeksellaceae.
AUACAAUGGAGAGUUUGAUCCUGGCUCAGGAUGAACGCUAGCGGGAGGCCUAACACAUGCAAGCCGAGCGGUAUUGUUUCUUCGGAAAUGAGAGAGCGGCGUACGGGUGCGGAACACGUGUGCAACCUGCCUUUAUCUGGGGGAUAGCCUUUCGAAAGGAAGAUUAAUACCCCAUAAUAUAUUGAUUGGCAUCAAUUAAUAUUGAAAACUCCGGUGGAUAGAGAUGGGCACGCGCAAGAUUAGAUAGUUGGUGAGGUAACGGCUCACCAAGUCCAUGAUCUUUAGGGGGCCUGAGAGGGUGAUCCCCCACACUGGUACUGAGACACGGACCAGACUCCUACGGGAGGCAGCAGUGAGGAAUAUUGGACA